AUUGAACGCUGGCGGCAGGCCUAACACAUGCAGGUCGAGCGGAUGAAGGGAGCUUGCUCCUGGAUUCGGCGGCGGACGGGUGAGUAAUGCCUAGGAAUCUGCCUGGUAGUGGGGGAUAACGUCCGGAAACGGGCGCUAAUACCGCAUACGUCCUGAGGGAGAAAGUGGGGGAUCUUCGGACCUCACGCUAUCAGAUGAGCCUAGGUCGGAUUAGCUAGUUGGUGGGGUAAAGGCCUACCAAGGCGACGAUCCGUAACUGGUCUGAGAGGAUGAUCAGUCACACUGGAACUGAGACACGGUCCAGACUCCUACGGGAGGCAGCAGUGGGGAAUAUUGGACAAUGGGCGAAAGCCUGAUCCAGCCAUGCCGCGUGUGUGAAGAAGGUCUUCGGAUUGUAAAGCACUUUAAGUUGGGAGGAAGGGCAGUAAGUUAAUACCUUGCUGUUUUGACGUUACCAACAGAAUAAGCACCGGCUAACUUCGUG
This 484-nucleotide ribosomal RNA is filed under the name uncultured bacterium. RNAcentral's name for it is "partial 16S ribosomal RNA". It matches the Rfam family "Bacterial small subunit ribosomal RNA", at positions 30 to 507 of the family's 1533-position model. The record is from RNAcentral.